AUGGCUGCUAAACAAAGUGAUUUGGGGUGGGACAACACGUUUACAGCUGGUAGGGGGCGGGGCAGUCUUUUGAAUACGCCUGACAGAGCAAAGCUGUUUGAAGAUCCUGAGUACUGUAGUACAGGUCGGGGUAGAGGAAUUGGUCUUUCCCCCGAUGACAGAGUUCAAAUGUGCGGUAGUCCAAUCGCUGCAGCCAGUAACUAUGAAUUCGCUCCUCAAGAGUCAGAAAUGUCUGGUCAAAUGAGUAACCUCAUAAGACAAAUUGGUAUUGAGAUUGGGCAAUCAAUUAGAGAGAGUAUGAUGAGGCCUGACUUUUCUAACCAUCCAUCUGCUAGAAAGUUACAGGAAGGUGUCAGUGGUCAUGUGACUGACCCCUCUAAUACUACUGUCAUUGACGCGUCAAAAAUGAACUUGAUCCUGAGAGCUGAGGUGUCCGCACCACCACACUUUCGAGGAGAUAGUUCAGACAAAUACUCAGUCCUGGAAUGGGAAGACACGAUGAGGGUAUAUUUGAACAAACUUGAUGUGACAGAGUCUGAAAUGGUUGAUGAGAUAAUGAACAGAGUUAUGGGGCGGGCCAGAGAUGUAAUGAGAGUAUGGCUGUGCAAUGGUUCUACAACUCCAACUGUUGAUUCUGUAUUUUCUGUUUUGAAGCAGCACUUCGGGGACCAGAGCAGUUCAGGUAUUCCUUUAGCUGACUUCUAUUCUGUGAGACCAUAUCCCAGGGAGAGCGCUUGGGAUUUUUGGAUAAGACUAAACAAGGCAGCAGAUGUUGCAGAGCAAAGUUUAAGAUGGGAAGGGAGUUCCCUGGAUAACAGGAGCAAAGAGGUGGCCGUUAUGUUCAUUCGUAACUGCCCUGACAAAGAGUUAGCUUUCGUUUUCAAGAGUAAGCCUGUACAGUCAUGGAAUGCAUCUGAGGUGCAGGAGCAGCUUGACGAGUUGUUAAGGGAACGCAAGUUGACGAAUCACACUGUCAAACAAUUCACCACGGUUGUCUCAGAGCCAGACGUUGAUGUGCCUGUCUCAUCGUCUAAGUCUGAACAGGGUGGGGGCGUAGCUGACGAGAAUGCAUUGGACAAAGUCCUGUCUUUGCUUGAAAAAACGUAA
This 1107-nucleotide long non-coding RNA is filed under the name Carassius auratus (goldfish). RNAcentral's name for it is "lncRNA (ENSCARG00000028573.1)". Lineage: Eukaryota; Metazoa; Chordata; Actinopteri; Cypriniformes; Cyprinidae. The record is from RNAcentral.